Molecule: long non-coding RNA, 1206 nt
Filed under: Homo sapiens (human)
Lineage: Eukaryota; Metazoa; Chordata; Mammalia; Primates; Hominidae
Description: HSALNT0143593
Source: RNAcentral
AUACUGCUGAAAACUGGAUGAAUAUUCUUUCCAAACAUCGGAUCCUUGGACAAAAGCAACAAAAGAGACAUUCCUUGUACUAAAAAGGCUGGAUACCAGUACUUCCAUCAGACUCCCUAUUUUAAUAGCAAGCCUGGUGAGGGAGUUCCUUCUGAAGGCUCACACUGGGUGAGUCCAGUGCCCAACCAGCCCAUAAGCACAGCAAGGGCGGGCUUCAUGUCUUCUUCACUGUUUAUAUUUCCCUCAGUUCCUCUUUAUUGAAUAGUGGUGAAUUAACAUCUUUUGAUUUAGUCUAUUGUCCCUGAUAGCAUUUUAUUUCCAACCGUGCAAUUGCUGAUGCUUCUGUUUUCUUUUUGCUUUUUCCCCUGCAGCUUAACUAACAUUGACUACUGUGUUAGGAUUAGUCAUUGCUGACUGUGCCAGCCUGCAGCCUCAUAAUCAGAGCCUUGUCACCAAGCAUGGCUGCCUCAGUGACUGGAAUGGAAAUGAAAAUAAAGCAAGUGUUAUUUUCCUCAUCCUGAAGCAACAGAGAACUGCAUCAGGCUUACCAACAUGAACGUGGGUAAGAAGGAGUUUUGAAGUCCAGCAAAGAUUUUAUAGCUAGUGAGGCUGGCUGGAAGCAGGGUCGAUCUGGUCUGAUGUGUUGCAAGAUGUGAACUUAUUAAGGCAUCACAGAGGCAACUCCCAGCGGGGGUGGAGGAGAGCAGCAGGGAUGGAAAGGAAGAAGACUCUCAAGAUAGGAUGCUCCAAAGGAUGAUUGGAAGAGAAGGGUGAUGUCUGGAAGCGAUAAGCCUCAGAUGUUUGUUUGCACCUUACUGGAAAGCCAUGUAAAUUAAUGGAAACUUCCUGGCAAAAUAGCUUGACUUGUAGCAACUUCACAACCAUAACAAUCCAGAGGUGAGGUUUGCCCGCACCCUAUUCAUUUCAAUCCCGAAGGCAAUUUUCCCCUUGGCCAGAGAGAAGCUCAAGAACAAAAAACCAAACACCGCAUGUUCUCACUCAUAGGUGGGAAUUGAACAAUGAGAACACAUGGACACAGGAAGGGGAACAUCACACUCUGGGGACUGUUGUGGGGUGGGGGGAGGGGGGAGGGAUAGCAUUAGGAGAUAUACCUAAUGUUAAAUGACAAGUUAAUGGGUGCAGCACACCAGCAUGGCACAUGUAUACAUAUGUAACUAACCUGCACAUUAUGCACAUGUACCCUAA